UCCAAUCUUUGUCCCACUUGAGCCCGGUG
RNAcentral lists this non-coding RNA (29 nucleotides) under Rattus norvegicus (Norway rat). Lineage: Eukaryota; Metazoa; Chordata; Mammalia; Rodentia; Muridae. The record is from RNAcentral.